This 1859-nucleotide ribosomal RNA is filed under the name Gephyramoeba sp. ATCC50654. Its description in RNAcentral is "SSU rRNA". It matches the Rfam family "Eukaryotic small subunit ribosomal RNA". Lineage: Eukaryota; Tubulinea; Elardia; Leptomyxida. The record is from RNAcentral.
AACCUGGUUGAUCCUGCCAGUAAUCAUACGCUUGUCUUAAAGAUUAAGCCAUGCAUGUCUUAGUAUAAGCUUUUAUACGGCGAGACCGCGAACGGCUCAAUAAAUCAGUUAUAGUUCAUUUGAUCGUGCCUUACUACUCGGAUAACCGUAGUAAUUCUAGAGCUAAUACGUGCUAAAAACGGGCAGCAAUGCCCGUGCGUUUAUUAGAUAUUUAGCCAACGUGAAGGUCUCCUUCACUACGCGCUGACUCAUGAUAACCUCGCGAACCGCAUGCCUUGUGCUGGCGGUGUUUCAUUCAAAUUUCAGCCCUAUCAACUUCGGAUGGUAAUGUAGUGGAUUACCAUGGUUAUAACGGGUGACAGAGAACUAGGGUUCGGUUCUGGAGAGGGCGCCUGAGAGAUGGCGACCACUUCCAAGGAAGGCAGCAGGCGCGCAAAUUACCCAAUAGGAGUUCCCUGAGGCAGUGACAAUAAAUAACAAUGCAGGUGCUUUACGGCACUUGCAAUUGGAAUGAACGUGGUGUAAACAGCCUAGUAAGGAUCAAUUGGAGGACAAGUCUGGUGCCAGCACCCGCGGUAAUUCCAGCUCCAAUAGCGUAUAUUAAAGUUGUUGCAGUUAAAACGCUCGUAGUCGGAAUCAGGGGCUGCUUCAGUUUCGGUCUGCUGGGGACAGUGUGCACUGAACUGAACUCCUCUUACUUUGCGAACGGGGCGUGUUUGGCCUUAACUGGCUGAGCACCGUCUCUCGCAUCUUUUACCAUGAGUAAAUUAGAGUGCUCUAAGCAGGCCUUUCGGCUUGAAUAUUUUAGCAUGGGAUAAUCGAACACGACGCUUGUCUUGUUCGUUGGUUGGCGAGCUGGCGUAAUGAUCAACAGGAACAAGCGGGGGCAUUUAUAUUGCUUGGGGAGGGGUGAAAUCCUUGGAUCCAAGCAAGAUAAACUACUGCAAAAGCAUUUGCCAAGUGUGUUUCCAUUGAUCAAGAACGAAAGUUUGGGGAUCGAAGACGAUCAGAUACCGUCGUAGUCCAAGCUAUAAACGAUGGCGACCACAACUUGAGUAGUGUUACUUGAAACCUCCCCAUGAUGUAGCGAGAAAUCAGAGUGUUUGGCUUCCGGGGGAAGUAUGGUCGCAAGGCUGAAACUUAAAGGAAUUGACGGAAGGACACCACCAGGAGUGGAGCCUGCGGCUUAAUUUGACUCAACACGGAAAACUCACGAGGUCCAGACAUAAGUAUGAUUGACAGAUUGAACGCUCUUUCUUGAUUUUAUGGGUGGUGGUGCAUGGCCGUUCUUAGUUCGUGGAUUGAUUUGUCUGGUUGAUUCCGAUAACGAACGAGAUCUCAACCUGCUAAAUAGCAAACGUAGUCUCCUGCUGGGUGAAUGCAGGGGUCUGCAUGGCCUCCGGGUUGUGUGGCCUCUGUUGGAUCUCGGGAGAUCUAGCGUUACGGCUUCUUAGAGGGACUGCUUCAGUUAAUGGAGAGGAGGUUUGAGGCAAUAACAGGUCUGUGAUGCCCUUAGAUGUUCUCGGCUGCACGCGCGCUACACUGAUGGUUCUAAUUAGUCUCCUGGGCCGAGAGGCUCGGGAAAUCUGAGAAAGAUCAUCGUGCUGGGGAUAGAUCAUUGCAAUUGUCGGUCUUAAACGAGGAAUUCCUAGUAAGUGCAAGUCAUCAGCUUGCGCUGAUUACGUCCCUGUCCUUUGUACACACCGCCCGUCGCUCCUACCGAUUGAAUGGUCCGAUGAAAUCUGCGGAUUGUGGGGGGAAGUUCACUCUGAACCUCGGGAGAAGCUGAUUAAAUCUUAUCAUUUAGAGGAAGGAGAAGUCGUAACAAGGUCUCCGUAGGUGAACCUGCAGAAGGAUCA